AACGUAGGUUCCGAGCGUUAUCCGGAUUUACUGGGCGUAAAGCGCGUUCAGGCGGUUUGGCAAGUCGGGCAUGAAAUCUCUCGGCUCAACCGGGAGAGGUUGUCCGAUACUGCUGGACUUGAGGGCAGUAGAGGGUGGUGGAAUUCCGGGUGUAGUGGUGAAAUGCGUAGAUAUCCGGAGGAACAUCAGUGGCGAAAGCGGCCCCCUGGACCGCUACUGACGCUGACGCGCGAAAGCUUGGGGAGCGAACGGG
This 253-nucleotide ribosomal RNA is filed under the name uncultured bacterium. RNAcentral's name for it is "partial 16S ribosomal RNA". It matches the Rfam family "Bacterial small subunit ribosomal RNA", at positions 524 to 776 of the family's 1533-position model. The record is from RNAcentral.